This 253-nucleotide ribosomal RNA is filed under the name uncultured bacterium. RNAcentral describes it as "partial 16S ribosomal RNA". It matches the Rfam family "Bacterial small subunit ribosomal RNA", at positions 524 to 776 of the family's 1533-position model. The record is from RNAcentral.
UACGAAGGGGGCUAGCGUUGUUCGGAAUUACUGGGCGUAAAGGGCGCGUAGGCGGCCCUAUCAGUCAGGCGUGAAAGCCCUGGGCUCAACCUGGGAACUGCGCUUGAUACUGUAGGGCUUGAGGACGGGAGAGGAUGGUGGAAUUCCCAGUGUAGAGGUGAAAUUCGUAGAUAUUGGGAAGAACACCGGUGGCGAAGGCGACCAUCUGGACCGGACCUGACGCUGAGGCGCGAAAGCGUGGGGAGCAAACAGG